This is a long non-coding RNA of Aphidius gifuensis, 474 nucleotides long. RefSeq lists it as uncharacterized. The transcript has 3 exons. The record is from RefSeq and is a predicted model, not a curated record. NCBI's taxonomy places the organism in Eukaryota, Metazoa, Arthropoda, Insecta, Hymenoptera, Braconidae.
UAUAAAUUUUUAAUUCAAAUAAAAGUCGUUUGUUUAAGCAAAUGUGUGUCCUGAAUCUGCAAAAAUUUAAAAAACUGUCAUCCAUGUUACUGGAUGCUUUAAAACUUGAAUUUCAAAAAAUCGUUAAAUUAUAUCUUUUUGGUAAAAUUAUAUAAAAAUUAAUUGGAGUUUUUUUGGUGUACAACCUUGGCCAAGUUACCAAAAUAAUCAAUGGAGAAAGUGUUGCUGAAGAAGACAUGUUAAAUGUACAGGUACAAUUAUCGAUGAAUUGCACAACAGUAUCAAAUUGUGUUAUUUUUUUAUGCAAAUUUGUUCAAUCUGGUGUGACUCAACUAGUUGAUUAUUUUUUAUGCUAAAAAAAUUCAUCUGCACAGUAAAUUCAUAUCAAAAUAUGGAACAACAUUUUAUUUAUGAUAGUGACUUUAUUUUAUGGACAGACACUUGUUGGCAUUGCUUCAUUUGGAAUUCAAUUUA